UCAGUGAAUGGUCCGGGUGCGACUGGGGGGGUGGGGGAGCCCGGCCGCCGGGGGGGGGGGGGAAGGCAGCGCCUGGGGAGCCGGAGUGAGAGGAGUCCCAGCCCUCCGUGCCGCCUGGCACCGGGGAUUACCAGCCUGGGGAGCCUGCAGAGCCGCAGCACUGAAGUUGCAAGGGGCAGGCGGGUGUUGCUGGUCUUCUGAAGUGGUCAACCAGAUUCCCUUAAAGUGGUCGUCUGAGUUAUAACACAGGUGUGUGAUGUAAAAGCAGUGGGCAGUCCUCGGGCCCUCCCCCACACUAUUGUAACGUCAUGUGCCAGUAUGAAUAUUAAAGCAGAAACACAUACUUCAGUAUUCAGCAACCAAAGGAGAAGCUAAACACUGAGAACAAAUGACUGGAGUGCUUGCAAAACUUUGGGCAGCUAACUUCUUCUCCUCCUUCCCUGCUAUUGUGAAACAGCUGGAAAAGCAGAACUGAAGCAGCAUUUUUUGUGGAUAUUUUUUCUUUUUUUAUUUAAUUUUUCCCCUUUGUUUUGGGUUUCAGACUCUCAAACUGCACUGAC
RNAcentral lists this long non-coding RNA (560 nucleotides) under Chrysemys picta bellii (western painted turtle). RNAcentral's name for it is "lncRNA (ENSCPBG00000027668.1)". Lineage: Eukaryota; Metazoa; Chordata; Testudines; Emydidae. The record is from RNAcentral.